RNAcentral lists this ribosomal RNA (325 nucleotides) under Clostridioides difficile. RNAcentral describes it as "bacterial SSU rRNA". It matches the Rfam family "Bacterial small subunit ribosomal RNA", at positions 233 to 575 of the family's 1533-position model. The record is from RNAcentral. Lineage: Bacteria; Bacillati; Bacillota; Clostridia; Peptostreptococcales; Peptostreptococcaceae.
GCGUCUGAUUAGCUAGUUGGUAAGGUAACGGCUUACCAAGGCGACGAUCAGUAGCCGACCUGAGAGGGUGAUCGGCCACAUUGGAACUGAGACACGGUCCAAACUCCUACGGGAGGCAGCAGUGGGGCAUAUUGCACAAUGGGCGAAAGCCUGAUGCAGCAACGCCGCGUGAGUGAUGAAGGCCUUCGGGUCGUAAAACUCUGUCCUCAAGGAAGAUAAUGACGGUACUUGAGGAGGAAGCCCCGGCUAACUACGUGCCAGCAGCCGCGGUAAUACGUAGGGGGCUAGCGUUAUCCGGAUUUACUGGGCGUAAAGGGUGCGUAGG